GCACCCGUAGUUUAGUGGAUAGAACGUAGCGUUGCGGACGCUAAAGUCGUAGGUUCAAGUCCUACCGGGUGCACCA
This 76-nucleotide transfer RNA is filed under the name candidate division WWE3 bacterium. Its description in RNAcentral is "tRNA-Arg". It matches the Rfam family "tRNA". Rfam says of the family: Transfer RNA (tRNA) molecules are approximately 80 nucleotides in length. Their secondary structure includes four short double-helical elements and three loops (D, anti-codon, and T loops). The record is from RNAcentral. Lineage: Bacteria; candidate division WWE3.